AUUGAACGCUGGCGGCAUGCUUUACACAUGCAAGUCGAACGGCAGCACGGGCUUCGGCCUGGUGGCGAGUGGCGAACGGGUGAGUAAUAUAUCGGAACGUACCCAGAAGUGGGGGAUAACGUAGCGAAAGUUACGCUAAUACCGCAUACGAUCUAUGGAUGAAAGCAGGGGACCGCAAGGCCUUGUGCUUCUGGAGCGGCCGAUGACUGAUUAGCUAGUUGGUGAGGUAAAGGCUCACCAAGGCGACGAUCAGUAGCUGGUCUGAGGGGACGACCAGCCACACUGGAACUGAGACACGGUCCAGACUCCUACGGGAGGCAGCAGUGGGGAAUUUUGGACAAUGGGCGCAAGCCUGAUCCAGCAAUGCCGCGUGAGUGAAGAAGGCCUUCGGGUUGUAAAGCUCUUUUGUCAGGGAAGAAACGGUAGAGGCUAAUAUCCUUUGCUAAUGACGGUACCUGAAGAAUAAGCACCGGCUAACUACGUG
Molecule: ribosomal RNA, 484 nt
Filed under: uncultured bacterium
Lineage: Bacteria
Description: partial 16S ribosomal RNA
Rfam family: Bacterial small subunit ribosomal RNA
Source: RNAcentral